This 465-nucleotide ribosomal RNA is filed under the name uncultured bacterium. RNAcentral describes it as "partial 16S ribosomal RNA". It matches the Rfam family "Bacterial small subunit ribosomal RNA", at positions 28 to 507 of the family's 1533-position model. The record is from RNAcentral.
GACGAACGCUGGCGGCGUGCUUAACACAUGCAAGUCGUACGGUAAGGCCCUUUCGGGGGUACACGAGUGGCGAACGGGUGAGUAACACGUGAGUAACCUGCCCACAACUUUGGGAUAACGCUAGGAAACUGGUGCUAAUACUGGAUAUGUGCUCCUGCUGCAUGGUGGGGGUUGGAAAGCUCCGGGGGUUGUGGAUGGACUCGCGGCCUAUUAGCUUGUUGGUGGGGUAGUGGCCUACCAAGGCGGCGACGGGUAGCCGGCCUGGGGGGGUGACCGGCCACAUUGGGACUGGGAUACGGCCCAGACUCCUACGGGGGGCAGCAGGGGGGAAUAUUGCAAAAUGGGCGCAAGCCUGAUGCAGCAACGCCGCGGGCGGGAUGACGGCCUUCGGGUUGUAAACCGGUUUCAGCAGGGACGAAGCUUUUUGUGACGGUACCUGCAGAAGAAGCACCGGCUAACUACGUG